CAAGUUACGCUUUAACAGUCUGGCCCUGGGAAAUUGCAGCCCUCCCCGACCUUCAGUCUGACUUGUUCUUUCUCUGGGUUUUCACUGAGCACUUAUGGAAUGAUGGUGAGCUGGAUGUGUCAGCCUUCAGGGAAGGGUGUGGAGUGGCUGGCACACAUUUGGUGGAAUGAUGAUAAGGGCUACAACCCAUCCCUGAGGAGCCGGCUGACAAUCUCCAAAGAUACCCCCAACACCCAGGUAUUCCUUAAGAUCUCCAGUGUGGUCACUGCAGAUACUACCACAUACUACUGUGCUUGAGGAG
Non-coding RNA from Mus musculus (house mouse), 301 nucleotides. Lineage: Eukaryota; Metazoa; Chordata; Mammalia; Rodentia; Muridae. The record is from the annotation of a RefSeq genome assembly.